UGAAGGGUCAAAAAGGCAAAGGGUGUUUUAGAAGUUUAGCAGACAGCUUUUGGUACAAGGAAAAGAGAGGGAGAGCUGGAGAGAGGGAAACAGGGUGAAGAGGCAGGAAUCUGGCUCGCAUUAAGCUGGGAGGUUCCAACCAUUGAUUCGCUCUGGAAUUAUGGCUUAAAAAAAUUGCAAGACAUGGUUUAUUCAUGAGGGUUCUUUUUUUUUCUUAAGUAGCCACCCAAAGUUACACUUUGGUUCACCAAGACGAAGACUCAUCCUUCCUCUCUCUAUGGAUCUUUCAGAUGAAGAAAUUAAGGCUCAGGAGGGAGGAAAAAAAUAAAAGAAAGAAUUGUCCAAGGUCACCAAGGCAUCUGGACUCCCAUAUGUUGAGCUACUUCUGCUUGUGGGGCAGCUGCAAUACAUGAAUUCUUCACUACGUGCAACCAUGGAUACCAGGACCAUAAAGUGCCUUUGUCUUGGGGUCACUUCGAGAAAACAUUGUAGAUCCAGGGGCUCUGAGCUGAAGAGGAAAAACCAUCAUAGUGUUCUGUUCACGAGUGCCCUGAAUUCCAUCCACAGAGCUAUUGGAUGUUUGGAGCCCAGGUGAAGAUCCCAGAGCUGGGGAACGAAAGGUUGGAAAAGCCCAGCCAGCUGUGCAAGCCUCCAGAGACACUCUCUUGACUGCGGUGAGGUGCCUGCCACAAAACCCCUAGCUCCCUGCUCUUCAACCUCUGGCUUUGGCGGCAGGUGAACCAGUUAGCCAUGCCAGGAGGCAGAAAGGGCAGAACGCAGAGCCUGCCUUUUGAAGCCUUUUGCUUCCUUUGAUGUGCAGAUUUUAUCAAGGUCCUUUCUGGAGUUGGGCAAAUCCCAGUUGCCUUCUUCAAAUCCUCCUUUUGAGAAUAUUUCCAGAGAAUCCCCAAACCGCUCUCCUAUGGUUUAUUUUAGGCUGCUUACUUGCUUGCAUUCAUUUAUUUACUUAUUUAUUUAUUUUGCAGAGGAAAGUGAUAGCCUGCUGGGCUGGACCUGGACUUUGAGACAGAACUUUCGAAUCCGAAGAAGAGAUGAUUUUCAGAUAGUCCUCCUUCCAGGUUCCGGGAAAGGCCAGGCGGGUGUCAGAGGUCUUUGUCAACCCGCUGAGUCAGCAGAGGCAGAAGGCAUUCUUCUUAAGUUCCCAGGGAGAGACUGGAGCUAAAGAUCCUGGGUGACGCCACGUUGCAGUGCCUGCCCCAGAGAGAACUGCAUGGACCAGGUUUUUAUUAUGUCGAUCAUGCUUCAAUAAGGUGGUUUUUUAAAAAAGUCUGCUGAAAGCUGGAAGCGGCCACUUCAACAUCACCCUCAGAAUGGAGCAUACUCAAGGGGAAGCCAAGCUGGAGUACAGAACAAGGAAAAGACUUGGUCUCAUCUGAAUCCAUGAACGCAGCUCUGUCUGAAAGUGAUUCUUCUGGAAUUUUCAAUGACUGGAGUCCGUAAAGUCCCUUCGUCUUAGUUUUUUGAUCAUUCAUAAUCACACACAAACACACACACACCCCACCCACACUCAUACAAACAUACACAAUGAGGUGUGGAUAAAAUGAAUAAUCUAUACUUGUACUGAAAAUAUAUUAGUACAUGCCUGGCAC
RNAcentral lists this long non-coding RNA (1607 nucleotides) under Homo sapiens (human). RNAcentral describes it as "HSALNT0370680". Lineage: Eukaryota; Metazoa; Chordata; Mammalia; Primates; Hominidae. The record is from RNAcentral.